GAUGAACGCUGGCGGCGUGCCUAAUACAUGCAAGUCGAGCGAACGGACGCGAAGCUUGCUUCUCUGAUGUUAGCGGCGGACGGGUGAGUAACACGUGUAUAACCUACUUAUAAGACUGGGAUAACCUCGGGAAACCGGAGCUAACACCGGAUAAUAUUUUGAACCGCAUGGUUCAAAAGUGAAAGACGGUCUUGCUGUCACUUAUAGCUGCAUCCGCGCUGCAUUGGCUAGUUGGUAAGGUAACGGCUUACCAAGGCAACGAUGCAUAGCCGACGUGAGAGGGUGAUCGGCCACACUGGAGCUGGGACACGGUCCAGACUCCUACGGGAGGCAGCAGUAGGGAAUCGUCCGCAGAAGGCGAAAACCUGACGGAGCGACGCCACGUGAGUGAUGAAGGUCUUCGGAUCGUAAAACUCUGUUAUUAGUGAAGAACAGAUGUGUAAGGAACUGUGCACAUCUUGACGGUACCGAAUCAGAAAGCCACGGCUAACUACGUG
Molecule: ribosomal RNA, 497 nt
Filed under: uncultured bacterium
Lineage: Bacteria
Description: partial 16S ribosomal RNA
Rfam family: Bacterial small subunit ribosomal RNA
Source: RNAcentral